RNAcentral lists this ribosomal RNA (253 nucleotides) under uncultured bacterium. Its description in RNAcentral is "partial 16S ribosomal RNA". It matches the Rfam family "Bacterial small subunit ribosomal RNA", at positions 524 to 776 of the family's 1533-position model. The record is from RNAcentral.
GACCGAGGGUGCAAACGUUGUUCGGAUUUACUGGGCGUAAAGCGCGUGUAGGCGGCUUGGCAAGUCGGAUGUGAAAGCCCACGGCUCAACCGUGGAAGCGCAUCCGAAACGGCCUCGCUCGAGUCUCGGAGAGGAAGGUGGAAUGCUUGGUGUAGAGGUGAAAUUCGUAGAUAUCAAGCAGAACACCUGCGGCGAAGGCGGCCUUCUGGACGAUGACUGACGCUGAGACGCGAAAGCGUGGGGAGCAAACAGG